Molecule: ribosomal RNA, 553 nt
Filed under: uncultured bacterium
Lineage: Bacteria
Description: bacterial SSU rRNA
Rfam family: Bacterial small subunit ribosomal RNA
Source: RNAcentral
UCCUACGGGAGGCAGCAGUGGGGAAUUUUCCGCAAUGGGCGAAAGCCUGACGGAGCAAUCUCGCGUGAGGGAUGACUGCCUAUGGGUUGUAAACCUCUUUUUUCAGGGAGGAAUAAAUGACGUGUACCUGAAGAAUAAGCAUCGGCUAACUCCGUGCCAGCAGCCGCGGUAAUACGGAGGAUGCAAGUGUUAUCCGGAAUCACUGGGCGUAAAGCGUCUGUAGGUGGUUUAAUAAGUCAACUGUUAAAUCUUGAAGCUCAACUUCAAAAUCGCAGUCGAAACUAUUAGACUAGAGUAUAGUAGGGGUAAAGGGAAUUUCCAGUGGAGCGAUGAAAUGCGUAGAGAUUGGAAAGAACACCGAUGGCGAAGGCACUUUACUGGGCUAUUACUGACACUCAGAGACGAAAGCUAGGGUAGCAAAUGGGAUUAGAUACCCCAGUAGUCCUAGCUGUAAACAAUGGAUACUAGAUGUUGAACAGAUCGACCUGUGCAGUAUCAAAGCUAACGCGUUAAGUAUCCCGCCUGGGAAGUAUGCUCGCAAGAGUGAAACUCA